ACAAACUUGGUCAUUUAGAGGAAGUAAAAGUCGUAACAAGGUUUCCGUAGGUGAACCUGCGGAAGGAUCAUUAAAGAGGGGGAAGAGGGGGAAGAGUGCGGUAUGUCUGUGUGUGUGUGUGCGAGGGGUGUCUGCUUUGCGGCGGAUAGCCUGUGCGCCAUGCAUGGACGUGCCGGUGGCUUGCGCCCGCGAGGGUGCAAGAGUGGGGUGGCAGUGGUGUGGGGGUAGAGUGGUGGAUGGUGGGGUGGUAGAGUGGAGUAGUGGGCAAUGGGUGUCUUGCGGCACUGCACAUUGGACACUGCACACUCUGCGCUAGCACACUCUGCGCUAGCACACUAUCACCGCUAUACCUCCAUUCACACGCCCCAGAAAACAUGCAGCUUGGACUAAAGUACACACACAUUACAUCUUUUAACAAUGGAUCUCUGGGCUCCUGCAUCGAUGAAGAACGCAGC
This 455-nucleotide unclassified non-coding RNA is filed under the name uncultured fungus. RNAcentral describes it as "partial contains small subunit ribosomal RNA, internal transcribed spacer 1, and 5.8S ribosomal RNA". The stretch from base 1 to 73 matches the Rfam family "Eukaryotic small subunit ribosomal RNA", at positions 1759 to 1831 of the family's 1831-position model. Lineage: Eukaryota; Fungi. The record is from RNAcentral.